Vespula pensylvanica (western yellowjacket) is the source of this 1069-nucleotide long non-coding RNA. RefSeq lists it as uncharacterized. Lineage: Eukaryota; Metazoa; Arthropoda; Insecta; Hymenoptera; Vespidae. The transcript has 4 exons. The record is from RefSeq and is a predicted model, not a curated record.
CGCAUGACGACAUAAUAAUCGAACUUUUGAUUAACUUCGAUAAUUAAUUAUCGAAUCACUUUUGAUUUAUACUUCGACGAGUGAACAUCGAAGAUCCCUCAGGAUACCUUUCUUACUUAAAUUUUGAACCGGCGGUCAUUGACUACGCGACGACAACAGAAACAAACCUUCGAUAGACUUUCACAAUUAUUGAAUUAGUCUUGAUUUAUACUCCAACGAGUGAACAUCGAAGAGCCUUCAAGAUUUUUUAUUAGUAUCAACGAAGACUUAAAAACGUCAUUGUAAUCGCGUGCGUAGCAAUGAAGUAAUCGAGUAUUUGUAUCGCUAAAAUAAAAAUAUCGCGAAGUAGAAGCAGUGUUUAUUCGUUCGCGUUUCGCGAUUUAAAAAAUGUUUUCGUAUCGACUGCGUGCAAUGCAGUCCUUAGAGUCAGUAUUUGUUCGCGAAGUUUUUUGCUUUUUUAACAGUUGCACAGACUGUAUUUUUAAAAGAUAGUAAAGUUUCGCGAAGUAAAUUCAGUGACCGUCCGUUAAUAAAAUGCGAAUUAAAAUCAGUGCAUUAUUGAAGAAGAUCUUAAUCAACUUCCAUGUCGACUUAUCUCAUUUUUAACCAACUACGAAUCAUCCAUCCUCAAUUUUGAUCUAAAUCACGGACGUAUUACGCAGAACUUCUCAAGUAGUUAAAUGAUGGAGGAACCGAUUAUCAAGGAACUGAUUAUCGUGAAAUUAGAUUUUUUAAAAUAUUAAAUAUAGAUACGACCAAUCGUGUCCCGAGAUGUCUCCAUAUAUAACAAUUUCUACUUGAAUGAAGUCUGGGUCGGUACAACUCGCAAUAUAAGUUUCCAGCACUAUUGAGUUAAUAGUUACGUAUAAUCACCUUAUAUUUCUAAUAUUUGUACAAAUAAAUAGAUUAAUAUAUCAGAAUUCUGUAGACAAAUGUAUAUAAAGUAUAUACAUUUUAUGUGAUUAAAAUCAGGAUUUUGUCGAUUACUUGAUGUAAAAUAAUAAUUAUUGAUGAAUAUAUUUAUAUUAUAUUAUUACACAUUAUUUCUAUAAAAAUCAAAACUAGUUUU